RNAcentral lists this transfer RNA (71 nucleotides) under Solemya velesiana. RNAcentral's name for it is "tRNA-Val". It matches the Rfam family "tRNA". From Rfam's summary of the family: Transfer RNA (tRNA) molecules are approximately 80 nucleotides in length. Their secondary structure includes four short double-helical elements and three loops (D, anti-codon, and T loops). The record is from RNAcentral. Lineage: Eukaryota; Metazoa; Mollusca; Bivalvia; Solemyida; Solemyidae.
CAAGAUAUAGCAUAAAAUUAAUGCAUUUCAUUUACACUGAAAGGAAAAUUGUGCAAUUCAAUUUAUUUUGA